AGUGCUAUAACUAAUGGUUUGAGACUGAAUAAUUAUGUAACUCAACGUGAUUAAACCCGUUAAAUCUUCAAAAUGUUUGUGUUGUGCGUGAUGAUGUGCUGUAACGCAGGUGAACUCGUACCCAACUGUUCAAGGAUUUACUGUAAUAAGAACUGGAGGUGAUGAGUGCCAGUUUUCACAAGCAUGGAGAUAUGUUCUUUUCGGGUACUGCUGAUGCUAAGGGAAUUUUCUUUACUCUCUAUUUUUUGAAAUAGGAGAAAAAGAAGGCAGUAUUAUGCCAUAGAUGGCCCUAGCUUUACCCGACUUUCUAAGACUAUCAUCUCUAAAAUAGUGGAAACAUAUCAACCUGGUACAAUAGUUCUCCUGUGUGGAGCUGAUUCGCUUGCUGGAGAUCGCCCGGGCUGCUUCAAUCUCUAUAUUGAUGGUCAUGCUGAAUGUGUCAAAUUCGUAAAGAAAUUCAAUUUGCCCUUGCUGGUGGGUUUAUAUCAUUUUAUAUUUGCCUUAAAUUUACUUGUUAUUUUGGUUUAGAUAUACAUGAGUGGAAUAUUGAAACUAGAAAAUAUUGCUCGGUGGUGGGCUAUUGAAACUAGAGUUUUCUUAGAUACAGAGCUUCCUAAUGGUACACUUAAUCAGCCUUAUCCUAGUGGGCACAUCGUAUAUGGCUUCUCAACCUUUGAUU
Long non-coding RNA from Arachis duranensis, 679 nucleotides. RefSeq lists it as uncharacterized. The record is from RefSeq and is a predicted model, not a curated record. Lineage: Eukaryota; Viridiplantae; Streptophyta; Magnoliopsida; Fabales; Fabaceae. The transcript has 5 exons.